AUCCCAUUAUGUGGACAUCUUCUUAAUAGUUCUUUAAAUCUCUCUCAAGCUUCACAUAAGGAUUCACCUUUAAAUUGAGUGAAUGAGGUUAUAUCAUUCCUCAUUUU
This is a small nucleolar RNA of Theobroma cacao (cacao), 107 nucleotides long. It matches the Rfam family "Plant small nucleolar RNA R71". Rfam says of the family: R71 is a member of the C/D box family of snoRNAs containing the C (UGAUGA) and D (CUGA) box motifs. Lineage: Eukaryota; Viridiplantae; Streptophyta; Magnoliopsida; Malvales; Malvaceae. The record is from Rfam.